UCAUAUCUGGCCCAUCCUCUUUUAGGGUUUGAUCUGAUACGACCACACCUGCACUUGGCUCCUCCUCCCUCACUCUUCGUCUCCUAAAGCCUCCGACCACCGCCUCUGUAACGGCAUUGGGCUUUUGAGUAGUGUAGUCUCCGGUUGUAUUUAUGUGCUACGUUUGUGGUGGGUUUAUUAAAGGCAACAUCACUUUUCCACUUAUUCAUCAUUUACUCUCCUUUUCAAUUAGUAAUCAAAUGAAAGAUUCAGUUGUUGAGAUCUUGAAGAAUCUGAGAGGAUUUUAAAUUGAGAGACGAAGGCUUUACUGGGAUGUAAAGAAGGUGAGGUAAAGGAGAAGAGAGAACGCGGUGGGAGUGAUAUUGGUGGUGAAUCUAGCUGGCAGCGAUGAAGUAGGGGACAUAGAUGAUUGCGAUCGUGGCAGUAAAUUGUCAAGAGUAAUACUGAACAGAUUUUGCCAUGUCUGCACCUGCUAAAAAAAAUUAUACAGAAGCUAAGCCAAGGAGAAAGAUCUAAUGCUUGGGAUAUGGGUUUCAACAUGGGUGGAGUUUUUGGCAAGUUAUCGUCAUCUAAAAUUGACAUAUCGGACUUUGAUUUCUCAAGCCCAGUCAGGAAAACCACAAAAGACGAAAGAAAGGUUAGGCGACUAUGAACUUCAUUCAAGCCCACGGAAGAAGGCAAACGAGAGUACGACGACCACGUCCACAGAUUCCAAACUCCAAAGAGUUCACUGCUACAAGAAGAACUGAUAUGUCUUGACUCUGUGGACAUCAUUCCAGACUUACUAACAACUAGACAAGUGGCCUCCAGGAGUCCAGGGACAAAUACCGAUGUCAAGGAAAAUGAUUCAGCUGACAACGUCUACAGAUAGUAUGAGCAGACACUGGAAACAAGCUGAUAUUAUUUCCAAUAGAGCGUGAAAUUCUCUAUGGAGAUGGAAUCACCUCAGCAUCUAACGAUGAGAGCCUCACGAGUUCAUACAAUGAGUGGAAAACUUCAGUCCGCCAACAUUUCACCAUCGAAGAAAAUAAACAGCAUCACCUCGCCAUUACAUUCUUCUGAGACUGCACAUACUGCAGGAAGUAGAGAAACCAUUCUAUGAAAUAUGUAGUUCUGCUGCGAAAGUAGAUUCUCCUAGGGAUCCAAAACAGAUUGCCAACAAUAAAAAGAUUACACCACGAGAUCAGGUUAUGAAGCAACGAGUAUAAAUACACCAUCUUCCAGCGAUGAACAGCACAGCUCACCGUAACGUCUCCUUCUCCUCUGUUUCUGAAAAUCUAGGAAUGCCAAGAAAGGUGGAAAGUUUAUGGGGAUCGAUAUAGUUCUGGUAGAUGAGAAGGAUGCAGUCUACAAUGAUCCAGUGAUGGAUUAGAGUCCACAGAGUUGAACAUGUUCCAAUGCCUACUCAGAGAGGGAGGUAGUUAUCAGCUGAGUUCAUUUGAUGUGACAAAGAGCAAUCAGUACUCUCAGAGAGCCAGAAAAUCACGGCAAGCUCAAGCUCGGCUCUUACGAGGGUACUAUGUUUCUUGUUUAGUUAGACGGACUUAGAUUAGCAGAUUGGUGCUUCCCUCCUUCAGUCAAUAGCUUAUGACCGAGAGAUUAAAGCCAGAUUUCGCGUAUUGCCCAACUCCAAUGGAACAUGGAUAGUACAUGGUAGUUUCACCUUGAAACAGACUUUCACCAGCAAUAGCUUCCAAGAAUUCGAAAGCGAAGGCGUCUCUCUCAUCACACGUGUUCUUUGAUGAUGUGGUUCCCGAAAUUUGCAUUGACACUUUGUAUCCGAUGUGGUGUAUAACCACAGCGAUAUUUCUGGAGGGGUUUCCUCGAGUCCAAAAUCUGAGUCAAAGGUGGUUGAUGCUUGUGGUGUGAACAAAUCACUGAAGAAUGUGGUUUUAAAGAAUGUGACAACAUGAUCGUCGAAGAGCUGGAGUUGGUGUGGCAUGACUCAACCAAUGGCUCGAUCAAGACUGACACUCAGUUAGAUGGCCUCAAUGGAAAUGAACCAUCUUAGUUCUAGAAGUGAAUCAGAUGCCUUUUCCAGUCAAUGAUUUAUAUAUAUAUUUUUUCUACAAAUUUGUAUACAUGCUUAAAUAUAACAGUUUCAGCUAGAAAUAAACUAAAUAAAUUUGGUUUUCAUUUUUUAA
Molecule: long non-coding RNA, 2144 nt
Organism: Raphanus sativus (radish)
Lineage: Eukaryota; Viridiplantae; Streptophyta; Magnoliopsida; Brassicales; Brassicaceae
Exons: 11
Source: RefSeq, a predicted model, not a curated record